This 460-nucleotide long non-coding RNA is filed under the name Nicotiana benthamiana. RNAcentral's name for it is "long non-coding RNA (NBEN_LNC012355)". Lineage: Eukaryota; Viridiplantae; Streptophyta; Magnoliopsida; Solanales; Solanaceae. The record is from RNAcentral.
CUGAAUUUCAGUUUGAUUAAACUUCUAAGUGUCUGAAAAGCUGUAGUUAUCCCAUCAAGUAUUCCUUUGUAUAUUGGUCAGCUUUAGUGUAUUCCUUACCUCAUCUCUCUUAAGCCGCCAAAAACUCACAUUCUUCUUUCAUUUUCCAAACACAAUCCAAUUUUCUUCACUUCCAUACCCUAGACCAAAUAUGUCAAACACUUUUGGAAAUCAUUCAUCACCACCAUAAGAAACCACUUCCACACCUUCUACAACACCAAUCCCUAAGAAAAGUAGAGUAAAGAUGAUGUCUCGUAAGAUUGUCACUGAAGGAGAGCAGACCAAGAAAAUAAACAAGCAAUUGAAAGAAAGUAGGGAAGAAGAAUUCGAGAAAUCUGAAGAUUCAUGUAAGUCUUCUACUGAGGGGGAAGAAAGUAGGUAUUCCGAAACGAAAACACUUAUCUUUUAAUUCUAAAGUUAC